CGGGGCGCUCACCUGGGUGCACCUAGUCCCGCGGGGCCGUGGGCCCGAGGAAGCUCAGCGGGCAUAGGCCUGGUCAUUCGUUCGUCCAUUCAUUCAUUCCUUCCUUGAGCUGUCUCAGGAAUAGAGAUGGGUGGUCUGUGGAUCCUAGAGCAAGUUCUGGAGAUGGUGGAGAGGUGCCAAGCAGAAUUGCCAUAAUCCUCGACGGCAAGAGGCAGCUUACCUUGUGCCUUUCUUCUGAUGGCUGUAGGGAUUAAGAGACCAAGAUUCGCUUCCUCACCUCGUCUCCUGCCUGCACCGCGUCAGAACCUGGGAAGCUCUGGCCGGAUUCUUCCCCAAGGAGGCCGUGAGGAGGGGCCGGUGGAAGUUCAGAGGCAAUUUGACAUGGAACUCAGCCUGCUGGUUGUUCCCUUCUCUGAGCUU
Molecule: long non-coding RNA, 420 nt
Organism: Hyaena hyaena (striped hyena)
Lineage: Eukaryota; Metazoa; Chordata; Mammalia; Carnivora; Hyaenidae
Exons: 3
Source: RefSeq, a predicted model, not a curated record